RNAcentral lists this ribosomal RNA (429 nucleotides) under Actinomycetes bacterium. RNAcentral's name for it is "Actinobacteria bacterium partial 16S ribosomal RNA". It matches the Rfam family "Bacterial small subunit ribosomal RNA", at positions 355 to 776 of the family's 1533-position model. The record is from RNAcentral. Lineage: Bacteria; Bacillati; Actinomycetota; Actinomycetes. RNAcentral also lists the same sequence under 2 other names.
UAGGGAAUCUUCCGCAAUGGGCGAAAGCCUGACGGAGCAACGCCGCGUGAGUGAUGAAGGUCUUCGGAUCGUAAAACUCUGUUAUUAGGGAAGAACAAAUGUGUAAGUAACUAUGCACAUCUUGACGGUACCUAAUCAGAAAGCCACGGCUAACUACGUGCCAGCAGCCGCGGUAAUACGUAGGUGGCAAGCGUUAUCCGGAAUUAUUGGGCGUAAAGCGCGCGUAGGCGGUUUUUUAAGUCUGAUGUGAAAGCCCACGGCUCAACCGUGGAGGGUCAUUGGAAACUGGAAAACUUGAGUGCAGAAGAGGAAAGUGGAAUUCCAUGUGUAGCGGUGAAAUGCGCAGAGAUAUGGAGGAACACCAGUGGCGAAGGCGACUUUCUGGUCUGUAACUGACGCUGAUGUGCGAAAGCGUGGGGAUCAAACAGG